RNAcentral lists this ribosomal RNA (919 nucleotides) under Bacillus subtilis. Its description in RNAcentral is "bacterial SSU rRNA". It matches the Rfam family "Bacterial small subunit ribosomal RNA", at positions 39 to 937 of the family's 1533-position model. The record is from RNAcentral. Lineage: Bacteria; Bacillati; Bacillota; Bacilli; Caryophanales; Bacillaceae.
GCGGCGUGCCUAAUACAUGCAAGUCGAGCGGACAGAUGGGAGCUUGCUCCCUGAUGUUAGCGGCGGACGGGUGAGUAACACGUGGGUAACCUGCCUGUAAGACUGGGAUAACUCCGGGAAACCGGGGCUAAUACCGGAUGCUUGUUUGAACCGCAUGGUUCAAACAUAAAAGGUGGCUUCGGCUACCACUUACAGAUGGACCCGCGGCGCAUUAGCUAGUUGGUGAGGUAAUGGCUCACCAAGGCAACGAUGCGUAGCCGACCUGAGAGGGUGAUCGGCCACACUGGGACUGAGACACGGCCCAGACUCCUACGGGAGGCAGCAGUAGGGAAUCUUCCGCAAUGGACGAAAGUCUGACGGAGCAACGCCGCGUGAGUGAUGAAGGUUUUCGGAUCGUAAAGCUCUGUUGUUAGGGAAGAACAAGUACCGUUCGAAUAGGGCGGUACCUUGACGGUACCUAACCAGAAAGCCACGGCUAACUACGUGCCAGCAGCCGCGGUAAUACGUAGGUGGCAAGCGUUGUCCGGAAUUAUUGGGCGUAAAGGGCUCGCAGGCGGUUUCUUAAGUCUGAUGUGAAAGCCCCCGGCUCAACCGGGGAGGGUCAUUGGAAACUGGGGAACUUGAGUGCAGAAGAGGAGAGUGGAAUUCCACGUGUAGCGGUGAAAUGCGUAGAGAUGUGGAGGAACACCAGUGGCGAAGGCGACUCUCUGGUCUGUAACUGACGCUGAGGAGCGAAAGCGUGGGGAGCGAACAGGAUUAGAUACCCUGGUAGUCCACGCCGUAAACGAUGAGUGCUAAGUGUUAGGGGGUUUCCGCCCCUUAGUGCUGCAGCUAACGCAUUAAGCACUCCGCCUGGGGAGUACGGGUCGCAAGACUGAAACUCAAAGGAAUUGACCGGGGGCCCGCACAAGCGGGUGGA